This 513-nucleotide ribosomal RNA is filed under the name uncultured Gram-positive bacterium. RNAcentral's name for it is "bacterial SSU rRNA". It matches the Rfam family "Bacterial small subunit ribosomal RNA", at positions 8 to 521 of the family's 1533-position model. The record is from RNAcentral.
AGAGUUUGAUCCUGGCUCAGGAUGAACGCUGGCGGCGUGCUUAACACAUGCAAGUCGAGCGAAGCACUUCGUUUUGAAUCUUCGGAGGAAGAACGGAAUGACUGAGCGGCGGACGGGUGAGUAACGCGUGGGCAACCUGCCUCAUACAGGGGAAUAACAGUUAGAAAUGACUGCUAAUACCGCAUAAGACCGCGGUACCGCAUGGUACAGCGGUAAAAACUCCGGUGGUAUGAGAUGGGCCCGCGUCUGAUUAGCUAGUUGGCGGGGUAACGGCCCACCAAGGCGACGAUCAGUAGCCGACCUGAGAGGGUGACCGGCCACAUUGGGACUGAGACACGGCCCAAACUCCUACGGGAGGCAGCAGUGGGGAAUAUUGCACAAUGGGGGAAACCCUGAUGCAGCGACGCCGCGUGAGCGAUGAAGUAUUUCGGUAUGUAAAGCUCUAUCAGCAGGGAAGAAGAUGACGGUACCUGACUAAGAAGCCCCGGCUAACUACGUGCCAGCAGCCGCGGU